RNAcentral lists this ribosomal RNA (253 nucleotides) under uncultured bacterium. Its description in RNAcentral is "partial 16S ribosomal RNA". It matches the Rfam family "Bacterial small subunit ribosomal RNA", at positions 524 to 776 of the family's 1533-position model. The record is from RNAcentral.
UACGGAGGGGGCGAGCGUUGUCCGGAAUCAUUGGGCGUAAAGGGCGCGUAGGUGGCCUGCUAAGCGAGCGGUGAAAGUCGGGGGCUCAACCCCCGAUCGGCCGUGCGAACUGGGAGGCUUGAGCACUGUAGAGGCAGGCGGAAUUCCGGGUGUAGCGGUGGAAUGCGUAGAGAUCAGGAAGAACACCGGUGGCGAAGGCGGCCAUCUGGACCGGCACUGACGCUGAGGCGCGAAAGCGUGGGGAGCAAACAGG